CUACGUGCCAGCAGCCGCGGUAAUACGGAGGGUGCGAGCGUUAAUCGGAAUAACUGGGCGUAAAGGGCACGCAGGCGGCUAUUUAAGUGAGGUGUGARAUCCCCGGGCUUAACCUGGGAAUUGCAUUUCAGACUGGGUAGCUAGAGUACUUUAGGGAGGGGUAGAAUUCCACGUGUAGCGGUGAAAUGCGUAGAGAUGUGGAGGAAUACCGAAGGCGAAGGCAGCCCCUUGGGAAUGUACUGACGCUCAUGUGCGAAAGCGUGGGGAGCAAACAGGAUUAGAUACCCUGGUAGUCCACGCUGUAAACGCUGUCGAUUUGGGGAUUGGGCUUUAAGCUUGGUGCCCGUAGCUAACGUGAUAAAUCGACCGCCUGGGGAGUACGGCCGCAAGGUUAAAACUCAAAUGAAUUGACGGGGGCCCGCACAAGCGGUGGAGCAUGUGGUUUAAUUCGAUGCAACGCGAAGAACCUUACCUACUCUUGACAUCCAUGGAAUUCUGUAGAGAUACGGGAGUGC
Molecule: ribosomal RNA, 515 nt
Filed under: uncultured bacterium
Lineage: Bacteria
Description: bacterial SSU rRNA
Rfam family: Bacterial small subunit ribosomal RNA
Source: RNAcentral